RNAcentral lists this ribosomal RNA (400 nucleotides) under uncultured archaeon. RNAcentral describes it as "bacterial SSU rRNA". It matches the Rfam family "Archaeal small subunit ribosomal RNA", at positions 1 to 378 of the family's 1478-position model. The record is from RNAcentral.
UUCUGGUUGAUCCCGCCGGACCCUACUGCUAUCGGGGUGGGACUAAGACAUGCGAGUCGAGCGUCUCUAGCUAUGUUGAGACGCGGCAGACGGCUCAGUAACACGUGGCUAACCUACCCUCAGGACAGGGACAAACCCGGGAAACUGGGGCUAAUACCAGAUAGGCGAGGAUGCCUGGAAUGGUUUUUCGCUCAAAGGACCUUGGAAACAUGCUUUCAAGUCGCCUGAGGAUGGGGCCGCGUCCGAUCAGGUUGUUGGUGAGGUAACGGCUCACCAAGCCUAUAACCGGUACGGGCCGUGAGAGCGGUAGCCCGGAGAUGGGUACUGAGACAAGGACCCAGGCCCUACGGGGCGCAGCAGUCGCGAAAACUCCGCAAUGCACGAAAGUGUGACGGGGCUA